This 271-nucleotide ribosomal RNA is filed under the name uncultured archaeon. RNAcentral describes it as "partial 16S ribosomal RNA". It matches the Rfam family "Archaeal small subunit ribosomal RNA", at positions 477 to 747 of the family's 1478-position model. The record is from RNAcentral.
CAGCGCCACGAGUGGUAACCGCGAUUAUUGGGCCUAAAGCGUCCGUAGCCGGGUUGAUAAAUCCUUUGUGAAAUUGUGCGGCUUAACCGAACAACGUGCAAGGGACACUGUUAACCUCGAGACCGGGAGGAGUCAGAAGUAUUCCUGAGAGAGCGGUAAAAUGUUAUAAUCUCAGGAGGACUACCUGUGGCGAAGGCGUCUGACCAGAACGGAUCUGACGGUGAGGGACGAAAGCCAGGGGAGCGAACCGGAUUAGAUACCCGAGUAGUCC